UCAAACAAGACGUUUGGUACUACAUGACUGACUUUCAAGUCAUCAUACCUCCAAACCAAGUCAGAUAUUCAACUAUGCCACUUCAGGUUAGGUUUAUGAGAGAAACUACCAUGUGGCCUGUUAGAUCUAAGUCCUGGAACAAUUACUGGAACUUUGUUUGGCCUGAUACUGUCAGAAAUGCUCAUGAAGAUGAUAAAAACUCUGUCUCUGGUAAUAAUUUGUGAAAUUAAAUGUUUUAUACCAAGAUUUAUUAUAUAUGAAGACUUAUAUGACCAUUUUCCUGUAAUAUUUACUUAGAUGCUAUGGGAGUUAUCUCUGCUGUUUCCACCAUAGGAAGGUUUCCAUAUGUGUGUCGCAGAGGAGAAACAGACUAUGAAUCUCGCUAUGUCUGCUUCAAAAUUAAAAAUAAUGUGUAAGUUUAGUUUACCCUCUGUGACAGAAUUUCAAUGGUUGUUCUUAAAUUACUUUAAGAAAUUGGAUUGACUGUUCUUUUUGUUUGGAAAUUAAACUUUUAAUCUAGGGGGGAGACAAUAAAAUGCGUAGCUGUGGGAAAGUGGUGUGAGUUCUUUGUGAACACUUGGUCUCAGAAAAUAAGCGGAAUAAACUACAACUAUGAUAAGAUUGUUGCAGUCUUGCGUUUCUGGAGAAUAACUUCUUACUGUGGAAACAAUGUUUUAAUGAGUGAAUAUGGCUGUUCACGUCUAUACAUUGAUCCAAUCUUUUAUGAACUUGACAUUCCAAGUUAUCUGCGAUCAUUCGACGAUGGAUCAAGUGACGAAGAUGAUGUGAUGAUGGAGAUGGUUGCUGAGAACUAACAUGUGAAGGAAGGAGGGAUUGGAUUUGCAAGGUUACUUCAGUUUCUCUUAGUUUAUGUUGUUUUUUUUAAA
Arabidopsis lyrata subsp. lyrata is the source of this 887-nucleotide long non-coding RNA. RefSeq lists it as uncharacterized. Lineage: Eukaryota; Viridiplantae; Streptophyta; Magnoliopsida; Brassicales; Brassicaceae. The transcript is spliced from 3 exons. The record is from RefSeq and is a predicted model, not a curated record.